RNAcentral lists this ribosomal RNA (438 nucleotides) under uncultured bacterium. Its description in RNAcentral is "partial 16S ribosomal RNA". It matches the Rfam family "Bacterial small subunit ribosomal RNA", at positions 339 to 795 of the family's 1533-position model. The record is from RNAcentral.
CUACGGGUCGCACCAGUGAGGAAUAUUGCACAAUGGGGGGAACCCUGAUGCAGCAACGCCGCGUGGAGGAUGACGCAUUUCGGUGUGUAAACUCCUUUUAUAUGUCAAGAAAAUGACGGUAGCAUAUGAAUAAGCACCGGCUAACUCCGUGCCAGCAGCCGCGGUAAUACGGAGGGUGCAAGCGUUACUCGGAAUCACUGGGCGUAAAGGACGCGUAGGCGGGUUGGAAAGUCAGGUGUGAAAUCCUACAGCUUAACUGUAGAACUGCACUUGAAACUUCUAAUCUAGAGUAUGGGAGGGGGAGGUGGAAUUAGUGGUGUAGGGGUAAAAUCCGUAGAUAUCACUAGGAAUACCUAAAGCGAAGGCGAUCUCCUGGAACAUUACUGACGCUAAGGCGUGAAAGCGUGGGGAGCAAACAGGAUUAGAUACCCUAUAGUC